GAGAACAGCCAUACCACCCUGAACGCGCCCGAUCUCGUCUGAUCUCGGAAGCUAAGCAGGGUCGGGCCUGGUUAGUACUUGGAUGGGAGAAUGCAUUUCUAACCACGAGUCAUGUUAAUU
RNAcentral lists this ribosomal RNA (120 nucleotides) under Mustela putorius furo (domestic ferret). Lineage: Eukaryota; Metazoa; Chordata; Mammalia; Carnivora; Mustelidae. The record is from RNAcentral.